Long non-coding RNA from Danio aesculapii, 417 nucleotides. RefSeq lists it as uncharacterized. The transcript is spliced from 4 exons. NCBI's taxonomy places the organism in Eukaryota, Metazoa, Chordata, Actinopteri, Cypriniformes, Danionidae. The record is from RefSeq and is a predicted model, not a curated record.
CGUGACUGCUGUCAUCUCUAACACACGGAAGAACAUCCACAUAAACCCUGAAAUUGUUCAGUAUUCUCUCAAACAGCCGUUUGAGUCACCUCAAAUGUAGCAGAGGGACUUUAGGAGCCAGGUUGAAACGGUCCGAUGCACUUCACUUGCAAUGCAGAUCAUCAUUUCUGGACAGCUUUCUACUUACUGCUGUGGACAUGAAAGGUUCAGCAGACUUUUUGCUCUGAAUGAAUGGCUAUUAACAUGGUGUGAAGAACAAAAUUUGCUCUUUAUUAACAAUUGGAAUCUUUUCUAGGAUCGUCCUAGGCUUUCCCAUGCUGAUGGGCUGCACCACAGCAGUACUGGAGCUGAAUUCCUGUCGGACAACAUCUUCAGGAUGCUUUGACUAGGACACCUCCAAUGUGAAGCAGUGGACAG